GAUGCCAUCCAGGCGCACGGCGGGUAUAGUGGUUCCGCAACCUUGGGAUGUUCGGCUGAGCGCCUGCCUAACAUGGGAGCGCCUGCCUAACCCUCCUGACUGGAGGGUCAGCGGCGGGGAGUCCUGGCCUUCAAUCGGCCAUCGCCACGGCAGAAACUGGGGCCCGGGCUGCGUCCAGGCCCUUCCCCGUCCGUCCACAGGUCUCAUGGGCGCCCGGACUGGGGCUGAUGUAGUUUCCCGACCUCUGACACAUAGGAUCUGGAGAUUAAAGCUGCUCUGCUAAUAAUUAGGUUCCCACCUCUCAAGAUCAUUAGGAGCUUCUUUUCCAAUUCCUCUGUUUUGCAUGCAUUGGAAGGAAAAUGGUGACGCCGAGGGUGACUGAUUUCCAGGUUUACAUCGGUUGCCCCAGGGGAAGUGCCUGGCCCCCAUCUGGUCCUUGCUGCUCUAACUUUGCCCUGUUAAUUGAAGAAAUGCAGGAUCUGGAGCUCAGGACCCACUACCUCCCCGGCCCACUGCAAGCUUGAACAUUUGAUGGUGGACACCCCUCCCUGACUUUGUAUUAUGAUUCACAGGCUGCUCCCCAGAAUACUGAAGAAGAAACUCUAGGAGUGAGACCCAACAAUCUGUGUUUAACAAGUCCCCAGGCCCCUGGAUCCUCCUGGAAUCCCUGAUCCCUGUUGCUCCCUGGCGGAGUUUUCUAGUCCCUCUUACUUGAAGCAUGUCUUUCAGAGCCCGGCACCACCCAAGUUGGGUAUCUGAUACCCCAUCAGCCUGAGUCUCUUAAAGGCCUUUAUACACAUAUGUCUACACAUAGGGAUUUGGAUGAUCUCGGGAUCCCACAUCCUCGCUGUCCCCUGUCCCCCCACAACAUCCCACACCAAUACCUUUCUGAAGUUUUCUAGUCCCUCCUUUUUGUUUGUGGUCCUUAAAGCCCAGCCCCAUGCCUGACUUUGGUUCCCAGUGAGCAUUGUACAUUUGUGGAUAUUAAAUCUUUGGCAAAGUCAUUUA
RNAcentral lists this long non-coding RNA (1008 nucleotides) under Homo sapiens (human). Its description in RNAcentral is "PREDICTED lncRNA (TCONS_00132803)". Lineage: Eukaryota; Metazoa; Chordata; Mammalia; Primates; Hominidae. The record is from RNAcentral.